UGACCUAGUCACCUCCUAGAGACCCCACCUCUUAAUGUUAUUGCAUUGGGAAUUAGGUUUCAAUGUAUGAAUUUUGGAGGAAUGCAAACAUUCAGAUCAGAUCUGUUUGACCUCACAGCCAAAACUGGCAGUGGAAUUUGCAUGUUGCUCCUGGAACAUAUCUAGUAAUUUUCCAUCUCUAUACAUUUUCUAUGCUGUUUCCUCUAUACUGAAUGAUCCAUACUAUCCGUUUAACUUUGUAUCUUUAAAGGCUUGUGUGUGUGCCCAUCUAUUUUGGUGAGGUUGUUACCAAAACGCCAUGGGUUUGGUCUAGGUCCUGCUUGCUGCUCACUGCACAGAAAGCCAAUCACUGAGAUGGUGAGUGUUUCCGGGGAAGAAGCUUUCAUCCGGUGCUGCAGCUGAGGAGAUGGGAGCUCAGCCUCAAAUCCAUCGCCCUGACUGACUAAAAAUGGGGUUUUAUACAACAGGCAAGAAAUGUAACAAUGUGUAGGAAACACGAACUAGGGAGGAACAAGGAGUCAUCUGGUGGCCUCAUCUGGGAGCUCAACCUCACAAGACAGACCGUCAUGUAGAGACAACUGCUACACAACAUGGGAAGAACUGCUAGAGAUGUAAAGAUGUAAAGACCCAAAAUGAAGAAGCCAGAACACAUGAACACAAAACCAGCCAACCAACAAACACAAGCAGCAUGGAGCAUAGAGUCUGGGGACCAACUGCAUGGUGCUGAGGAAUGCAGCAGUUACAAACAAACAAACUCACCAAAGAAAACACCAGACAAACAUACAUCCAAUAGUAUUGUGUCCGGAAUUGGUGGGUUCUUGGUCUCACUGACUUCAAGAAUGAAGCCACGGACCCUUGCGCUGAAGGCAAUUGAGAAAAAGAAGAUGCGAGAAGAGCUGUUUACCCUUCCUUUAUCUGCUUAAAAGCAAGGAAUAAAUUUCCAUUAUAAAGGUGUCCCCUUGUUCUCAUACCAAGAAGAGGAGACAGCAUCAAGAUUACUCUACAUAAAGAAACCCAACUAAAUAACCCUUAUCUAUAAUAGUUUCUCCCAUAUAUUUACCUUCCUACAAUUUAAUGCCCCUAGAAGCCCAAGCCCCUUUUCUUUGGUUGCUUCCCCACAAUUUAUCGUACUUUGUUAAAAUGGUAGGUAAGCUCCUAAGUGUAACCACUUCUUUGGAUUUUUUUAGUUCUUUCUCUGCAGUUCCCAUGCAUAUAAAAAUAUUAACAACAAAUAAAAUUUGUAUGCUCUUCAUUCGUUGGUCCAUCUUUUGUCAGUUUAAUUCACAAAUUAAGCUGCAGAACCUAAGAGGAUGGAGGAAAAGUUUUCCUUUCUUACAAGAUCAUGCAGCAUCUGCUUCACUUACUGAGGAGCCCCGAGCCACCAUGUAUAAAAUCUGAAUACCCGAAGACCCCCGUACUGUGAGGAAGCCCGACCACAUGGAGAGGCCACAUGAAGGUUCUCAAAUCAGAACCCCAGCUGAGGUCCCAGCCUACAACCAGUAUCAACCACCAGACAUGUGAGUAAUGAUGUUUCCAGUUGAUUCCAACCAACAGCCUUUGGG
Molecule: long non-coding RNA, 1562 nt
Filed under: Homo sapiens (human)
Lineage: Eukaryota; Metazoa; Chordata; Mammalia; Primates; Hominidae
Description: HSALNT0402801
Source: RNAcentral